UUGGCAGCACUGAAGGAUGGAACUCUCUCUUUAUCCACAGAACAGGUACAGCCCAGACAGAGCAAGCUUCUCUGUCCUAUUGCACUUCCAUACUUCAGUUCCGACCUGAAGGAACCACCUUUUGGGGGAAGUUAGCUCAGACUCUCUCUCUUCUGAGACUGCCAGCAAGGAUGCAAAU
Chelonoidis abingdonii (Abingdon island giant tortoise) is the source of this 178-nucleotide unclassified non-coding RNA. Lineage: Eukaryota; Metazoa; Chordata; Testudines; Testudinidae. The record is from Ensembl.